UGUGUUUUUAUUGAAAGGUUAAUGAUUGCAAACAUUUAAAUAGUUAAAUCAACUCCUUAGCUGAGUGUGGGGUUACAGAGGAUGGGAACAAACAAGCCUAACUCUUCUGGGAAGACUGCUAAGGAAUUUUUGAGAAUGCUGGCUUUGUGCUGUGCCCAAGUGACCAGAGGAGUGAAAUGAAGACAAAUGGCAGUAAAAUAAUUCCAGAGAGCUGCCACAAUGCAUUC
RNAcentral lists this long non-coding RNA (227 nucleotides) under Cyanistes caeruleus (blue tit). RNAcentral's name for it is "lncRNA (ENSCCEG00000004555.1)". Lineage: Eukaryota; Metazoa; Chordata; Aves; Passeriformes; Paridae. The record is from RNAcentral.